GUGAAAACGAAAGCAGGUCCUCAGCGUCAGGUUCCUGUAUCAGAGGCUAGCAGGGAACGGAAGAACAACAACAUGAAUAAAAGUGACUCACAUCAGCAACUAAAGGUAUUUAAGCCCAGAGAAAGGUGAGCUCUGGUGCCAGAGAGGUGUGUGUUUGGUGGCUGCAGCUAGUGAGCUGUAUUUUGUGAUUGCUUGCUCCUGCCCGGUGGAGAGGAGUGUGUUUGGUCACUAAACUCUUCUUUGCUUUUCAGUUAACUUACCGAUGCCUGAGUUUUUGUUUGUUUCCUUAAAUGGUGAUAGCGGCUUGCCCGUCUCUUUUAGUUGAGUUAUUAAUAGAAACUUUAAUAAAACUCUUUAAUUUAACAAUUUUGCCUCCAUCUCCUUUUUCUGACCCGGACACUUUUUGUUACUUUCCCUCAUCACCUGGACCCCUUUUAGGGGAACGUAACACCACAUUUGAAAUUUUUGGUUCAAAUCAUGGAGGAGGUCAGGAGGCAAGGCAAGAAAAAGUAAAAAUUUAUUCACAUGUUGAUGGACAGACGAUGGGCUCUCAUGUUGAUUUUCUCAAAAAACUCUUCAAACGAGGAGCAAUACAAGAGGAGUUCGCUGAUAAG
Long non-coding RNA from Pelmatolapia mariae (spotted tilapia), 614 nucleotides. RefSeq lists it as uncharacterized. NCBI's taxonomy places the organism in Eukaryota, Metazoa, Chordata, Actinopteri, Cichliformes, Cichlidae. The record is from RefSeq and is a predicted model, not a curated record. The transcript is spliced from 3 exons.